This 439-nucleotide ribosomal RNA is filed under the name uncultured bacterium. RNAcentral's name for it is "partial 16S ribosomal RNA". It matches the Rfam family "Bacterial small subunit ribosomal RNA", at positions 339 to 795 of the family's 1533-position model. The record is from RNAcentral.
CUACGGGGUGCUGCAGUGGGGAAUAUUGCACAAUGGAGGAAACUCUGAUGCAGCGACGCCGCGUGAGUGAAGAAGUAUUUCGGUAUGUAAAGCUCUAUCAGCAGGGAAGAUAGUGACGGUACCUGACUAAGAAGCACCGGCUAAAUACGUGCCAGCAGCCGCGGUAAUACGUAUGGUGCAAGCGUUAUCCGGAUUUACUGGGUGUAAAGGGAGUGUAGGUGGCAUGGCAAGUCAGAAGUGAAAGCCCAGGGCUCAACCCUGGGACUGCUUUUGAAACUGCCGAGCUAGAGUGCAGGGGAGGUAAGUGGAAUUCCUAGUGUAGCGGUGAAAUGCGUAGAUAUUAGGAGGAACACCAGCGGCGAAGGCGGCUUACUGGACUGUAACUGACACUGAGGCUCGAAAGCGUGGGGAGCAAACAGGAUUAGAUACCCCGGUAGUC